UUCUUGUCCUCAAGAAUGAAGAAAAUGUUGGAAAUUGAAAUGAAUUUUAGGUGCUGCCUUCUCAUCAGCUGACAGAAUGCGAGAAUCCCACAUAGUUUCUUUUGCUAGCUAGUUACUUCUGGCCAGUUAAUUCCUUGAAUUUUGGAAUACCAAAUGUUAACUUCCAUCAUAUGCUUCAGCUGAAAUGUCCCAUAGAAUUGGCUAAAAGUUGCAACUGAUAGUAUGAACUGUUAA
Molecule: unclassified non-coding RNA, 234 nt
Filed under: Hevea brasiliensis (rubber tree)
Lineage: Eukaryota; Viridiplantae; Streptophyta; Magnoliopsida; Malpighiales; Euphorbiaceae
Source: RNAcentral